This 70-nucleotide transfer RNA is filed under the name Actinomycetota bacterium. Its description in RNAcentral is "tRNA-Ser". Lineage: Bacteria; Bacillati; Actinomycetota. The record is from RNAcentral.
GCAACGCUCGGCAACCACUGACCGCUCACUCGUAAUGAGCAGGUCAGCGGUUCGAGUCCGCUCGUCGGCU